Molecule: ribosomal RNA, 487 nt
Filed under: uncultured bacterium
Lineage: Bacteria
Description: bacterial SSU rRNA
Rfam family: Bacterial small subunit ribosomal RNA
Source: RNAcentral
GAUGAACGCUAGCGGCAGGCUUAACACAUGCAAGUCGAGGGGUAACAGGGAUUGCUUGCAAUCCCGCUGACGACCGGCGCACGGGUGCGUAACGCGUAUGCAACCUACCUUCUACAGGGGGAUAGUCAAUAGAAAUGUUGAAUAAUACCCCAUACGAUCAUGAAUUGGCAUCAAUUUAUGAGGAAAGUUCCGGCGGUAGAAGAUGGGCAUGCGUCCUAUUAGUUAGUUGGUAAGGUAACGGCUUACCAAGACAUCGAUAGGUAGGGGUCCUGAGAGGGAGAUCCCCCACACUGGUACUGAGACACGGACCAGACUCCUACGGGAGGCAGCAGUGAGGAAUAUUGGACAAUGGAGGCAACUCUGAUCCAGCCAUGCCGCGUGCAGGAAGACGGCCCUACGGGUUGUAAACUGCUUUUAUACAGGAAGAAACGCCGCUACGUGUAGCGGUUUGACGGUACUGUACGAAUAAGGAUCGGCUAACUCCGUG